CGGGGCGUAGCGCAGCUGGACAGCGCGCUUGGUUCGGGACCAAGAGGCCGGUGGUUCAAAUCCACUCGCCCCGA
Molecule: transfer RNA, 74 nt
Filed under: Candidatus Stahliibacteriota bacterium
Lineage: Bacteria; Candidatus Stahliibacteriota
Description: tRNA-Pro
Rfam family: tRNA
About the family: Transfer RNA (tRNA) molecules are approximately 80 nucleotides in length. Their secondary structure includes four short double-helical elements and three loops (D, anti-codon, and T loops). Further hydrogen bonds mediate the characteristic L-shaped molecular structure. tRNAs have two regions of fundamental functional importance: the anti-codon, which is responsible for specific mRNA codon recognition, and the 3' end, to which the tRNAs corresponding amino acid is attached (by aminoacyl-tRNA synthetases). tRNAs cope with the degeneracy of the genetic code in two manners: having more than one tRNA (with a specific anti-codon) for a particular amino acid; and 'wobble' base-pairing, i.e. permitting non-standard base-pairing at the 3rd anti-codon position.
Source: RNAcentral